Molecule: ribosomal RNA, 301 nt
Filed under: uncultured bacterium
Lineage: Bacteria
Description: partial 16S ribosomal RNA
Rfam family: Bacterial small subunit ribosomal RNA
Source: RNAcentral
CAGCAGCCGCGGUAAUACAGAGGGUGCGAGCGUUAAUCGGAUUUACUGGGCGUAAAGCGUGCGUAGGCGGCUUUUUAAGUCGGAUGUGAAAUCCCUGAGCUUAACUUAGGAAUUGCAUUCGAUACUGGGAAGCUAGAGUAUGGGAGAGGAUGGUAGAAUUCCAGGUGUAGCGGUGAAAUGCGUAGAGAUCUGGAGGAAUACCGAUGGCGAAGGCAGCCAUCUGGCCUAAUACUGACGCUGAGGUACGAAAGCAUGGGGAGCAAACAGGAUUAGAUACCCAGUAGUCCCUGUCUCUUAUACA